CCGGGGGGCUGGCUGCUGCUUCUCCCUUAAUGGGAACAGUGCAUUAGCAACUGGUUUCCUGGUGGUCUUGUUAGGGCCCGGGAAGGACUGGGCGACCCAGCUCUGUGCCCGCAGGGGGCAUGUUGGUGGGCACCACCGGGCCCCAUUCUCAUCAACUCUGUGGUGUGAAACCCUUGUCACAGUGGGUGACAACGGAACAACUGAAGCAGGGAGGACAACAGACCACUUGGUCAUGAGGCAGAACACUGGGCCUGGCUGGAGCUGCAUGCUCAGGGCACCCCCACGUCACCUUUAAGGGAAGAAGAGCCCCCCGAGCUUAACCUUGAAGGCAUGGCUGUGGUCCUGUUGGGGGACCACAGGCUGAGGCCCAGGCACCUCUGCUGAGGCUGAACCAGCUCCAGCACUCUUACCUGGAAGCUGUUCCAUCCCACGCUGUCGGAGCUGGGGCCUGAAGGUGGUGUGGGGUCACUUAGGCCUGUAGAGAAAACAAGACAGGGGCUGGCCUGAGGGAACCAGUGGCAGAGCAAAAAUAGAAACCAUUGUCCCAAGAGCCAUCCUGCAGCCCACACUUGCUUCCUCUCUUCCCCGCAAGGCCCCACAGAAGCCAACUUAUGGGCAGAAGUUGGAACUUUCACCUCUGCCCCUCAGCAGCUAAGAGUGGGAGCUGAGGUCGUGAGGAGGAGAGGACAGCCUGAGCUCACGGGUCCAGGUGAGCAUCUGUGGGCAAGUGCUAUCCUGGGUGAACCUGUGUCCGUGUGGACCAUGGCAAGGUGGAUCAGGUAGACUGAAGACUCUGGCAUUAGUCAAUAAGGCCAACUGAUUGGUGCUGGAGGGCCCUGAGGAGUGGCCCUGGCUGGCAGGAAACCAGCAUGAGCCCUGUCUGUCCUGAACACCUCAGCCAAGCGUCCCCUGUAUUUGACUUAGAGAAGAUGAGAGACCCGUUUUCAGCAGGUGCUCUCCAGCAGGCAGGGGACCAGCAACUGUCAGGUCUCCCUAUGGUGGUCCUUGACGACCCCAGAGGGAGGUGCUCAGUGCUGUCAUGGCUUCUAGUGGGGUGACGGUGAGCGCCUUUGGAGACUGGCUCCGCGGCAUCUACCGCUUCACCACCGAUUGGAACGACUUCCGGAGGAACUUGAUCCUCAAUUUAGGACUCUUUGCCUCCGGAGUUUGGCUGGCCAGGAACCUGAGUGACACUGAUUUGAUGGCCCCUCAGCCAGGGGUGUUAGCCAGAUAAUGGAAUUCCUGUGGUGUACUCCAACUUCCCAAGGACAGCCUGCUGUCUCGGACCACGAGAUACUACCCUGGUGGCAGCUGAAGUUGACCCCUCUCCUUGCCUGAACCUCCACCCCACCCCUCCACCCCGGGCAGCCCCCAGCUUCAGCUGGGAUGUUGCCUCUGCACAGUUCUGUGUGCAGUUCCCAAGGUUCUGCAGAGGGUGAUCUUUGCCCCUGUCCUGAGGAGUAGUGAUGGUUCUUGAAAAAAAUAUUUCAAAUAAAGCCUGCUCACAAAGAAAAAAAAAAA
This is a long non-coding RNA of Peromyscus californicus insignis, 1521 nucleotides long. RefSeq lists it as uncharacterized. The transcript is spliced from 5 exons. Lineage: Eukaryota; Metazoa; Chordata; Mammalia; Rodentia; Cricetidae. The record is from RefSeq and is a predicted model, not a curated record.